This is a long non-coding RNA of Vespula pensylvanica (western yellowjacket), 526 nucleotides long. RefSeq lists it as uncharacterized. The transcript has 3 exons. The record is from RefSeq and is a predicted model, not a curated record. NCBI's taxonomy places the organism in Eukaryota, Metazoa, Arthropoda, Insecta, Hymenoptera, Vespidae.
UAUUAUCAUACAACGAAAUCAAUGGAAUCGUACCUGAUGCUUUUCGAUUUUAUACCAAAGAAAGGAAUUUUGUAUAAAGAGGCAUCUCGGGAUGGAGCUGCUUCAUCCUUCCCGGCAAUUUCGAUGUCAUUGGCUGUCACAAUUGGAGGAGAAUCUAGGAAAAGGAGAAGAAGAAGGAAGAGGAGGAUGAGGAUGAGAAUGAGGAGGAUGUGGAGGAGGAGGAGUCUCGCAAUUUCCUCCGGUGGACGCUUAUCCGAUUGGAAAUUGCACGACAAAAACUUGAGAUCGUUGCACCCUACGUCAGGCACGUUUGAAAGACGCUACCGCAAGUCGAGCGCUUUACGAGAAUGCGGACGGUCGAGUCAACAGCCCUGAAUUCCUUCGUUGACUGAAAGUAUUCACGGAACGAAGGAUAUAUUCUUUCUCUCUUCACCUCUCCCUUUCGUAUUUUAUUCGCAAAAAGUCUUUGUUUCUUUCUUAUUUUUCUUAUUUUCCCGUCAUUCAGACGACGCGGAAUACUCGACGA